This 65-nucleotide transfer RNA is filed under the name Zea mays. It matches the Rfam family "tRNA", at positions 8 to 63 of the family's 71-position model. From Rfam's summary of the family: Transfer RNA (tRNA) molecules are approximately 80 nucleotides in length. Their secondary structure includes four short double-helical elements and three loops (D, anti-codon, and T loops). Lineage: Eukaryota; Viridiplantae; Streptophyta; Magnoliopsida; Poales; Poaceae. The record is from Rfam by way of RNAcentral.
UAGCUCAGUUGAUAGAGCACAAGGCUUCUAACCUUGUGGUUGUGAGUUGAAGCCUGAAGCCUCAC